UCUACGGGAGGCAGCAGUGAGGAAUAUUGGUCAAUGGGCGAGAGCCUGAACCAGCCAAGUCGCGUGAAGGAUGACUGUCUUAUGGAUUGUAAACUUCUUUUAUACGGGAAUAACAAGAGUCACGUGUGACUCCCUGCAUGUACCGUAUGAAUAAGCAUCGGCUAACUCCGUGCCAGCAGCCGCGGUAAUACGGAGGAUGCGAGCGUUAUCCGGAUUUAUUGGGUUUAAAGGGUGCGUAGGCGGCCUGUUAAGUCAGCGGUGAAAUCUAGGAGCUUAACUCCUAAAUUGCCAUUGAUACUGGCGGGCUUGAGUGUAGAUGAGGUAGGCGGAAUGCGUGGUGUAGCGGUGGAAUGCAUAGAUAUCACGCAGAACUCCGAUUGCGAAGGCAGCUUACUAAGGUACAACUGACGCUGAAGCACGAAAGCGUGGGUAUCAAACAGGAUUAGAUACCCUGGUAGUCCACGCAGUAAACGAUGAUAACUGGGCGUAUGCGAUAUACAGUAUGCUCCUAAGCGAAAGCGUUAAGUUAUCCACCUGGGGAGUACGCCGGCAACGGUGAAACUCAAAGGAAUUGACGGGGGCCCGCACAAGCGGAGGAACAUGUGGUUUAAUUCGAUGAUACGCGAGGAACCUUACCCGGGAUUGAAAUGUAGAUGACCGCUCCUGAAAGGGAGUUUUCCUUCGGGACAUCUAUGUAGGUGCUGCAUGGUUGUCGUCAGCUCGUGCCGUGAGGUGUCGGCUUAAGUGCCAUAACGAGCGCAACCCCUGUCUACGGUUGCCAUCAGGURAUGCUGGGAACUCCGUAGAGACUGCCGUCGCGUCG
Molecule: ribosomal RNA, 823 nt
Filed under: human oral bacterium C67
Lineage: Bacteria
Description: bacterial SSU rRNA
Rfam family: Bacterial small subunit ribosomal RNA
Source: RNAcentral